RNAcentral lists this ribosomal RNA (560 nucleotides) under Alcanivorax sp. Its description in RNAcentral is "bacterial SSU rRNA". It matches the Rfam family "Bacterial small subunit ribosomal RNA", at positions 803 to 1363 of the family's 1533-position model. Lineage: Bacteria; Pseudomonadati; Pseudomonadota; Gammaproteobacteria; Oceanospirillales; Alcanivoracaceae. The record is from RNAcentral.
UAAACGAUGUCGACUUGGAGGUUGUGCCCUUGAGGCGUGGCUUCCGGAGCUAACGCGUUAAGUCGACCGCCUGGGGAGUACGGCCGCAAGGUUAAAACUCAAAUGAAUUGAUGGGGGCCCGCACAAGCGGUGGAGCAUGUGGUUUAAUUCGAUGCAACGCGAAGAACCUUACCUGGUCUUGACAUCCACGGAAGUUUUCAGAGAUGAGAAUGUGCCUUCGGGAACCGUGAGACAGGUGCUGCAUGGCUGUCGACAGCUCGUGUUGUGAAAUGUUGGGUUAAGUCCCGCAACGAGCGCAACCCUUAUCCUUUGUUGCCAGCGGUCCGGCCGGGAACUCAAAGGAGACUGCCAGUGAUAAACUGGAGGAAGGUGGGGAUGACGUCAAGUCAUCAUGGCCCUUACGACCAGGGCUACACACGUGCUACAAUGGCGCAUACAAAGAGAAGCGACCUCGCGAGAGCAAGCGGACCUCAUAAAGUGCGUCGUAGUCCGGAUUGGAGUCUGCAACUCGACUCCAUGAAGUCGGAAUCGCUAGUAAUCGUGGAUCAGAAUGCCACGGU